GCAUCGGGUGGAAGCGCUGUCUGCACCGGAUAUCCGGAUUGUAUCCGUCCGUUGAGACAGUGUGUCCUCCCUCUGGA
Non-coding RNA from Capitella teleta, 77 nucleotides. The record is from Rfam. Lineage: Eukaryota; Metazoa; Annelida; Polychaeta; Capitellidae.